Molecule: regulatory RNA element, 73 nt
Organism: Nocardiopsis sp. NRRL B-16309
Lineage: Bacteria; Bacillati; Actinomycetota; Actinomycetes; Streptosporangiales; Nocardiopsidaceae
Rfam family: Actino-pnp RNA
Source: Rfam
GCCGGUCCUCGGUAGUGGUCCCCGGACACCGCCCCCCAGGGGUGGCUGCCGUGGGCUUCGAUCGAUGACCGGC